GCAGGGAUAGUGCUGGGGUUCUUAUUUUUCUGGAUGGUCUACCACGUUUUACACCUCUAUGUAUACAAUGUCCAACAAUUCAUAAGCAAUAAGUUAACUCUUGUCUUGACAAAUUUGAGAUUAUCCAAAUAGGUUUUAUAUUACAUCUAUUGGAAGAUUAGUUGCAUAAAUUCUUGAAUCUUGAUCUGUGCAAACCUUUUUUCUGGCUCUGUUCAACUGUUUCCAUGUUAGUUUCUUUCAUAUGUUACUCCGUCAAUAACAAAGUUGUAAUUUUUUCAAGACUUGAUACCUCAUUGAUAACAAAUUUUUGUUGGCUAACAUUUGUCUACAAUCAUAAUCAUUUUCUCAAAUGGCAACUAAUUCUUUGUUAAGUUCUCUUUUGCAUGACCUAUAACAGCUAGUUUUCUUUUUCUGUUGUUUGACUCUCUCUCC
Molecule: long non-coding RNA, 432 nt
Filed under: Olea europaea (common olive)
Lineage: Eukaryota; Viridiplantae; Streptophyta; Magnoliopsida; Lamiales; Oleaceae
Description: long non-coding RNA (OEUR_LNC012372)
Source: RNAcentral